This 200-nucleotide ribosomal RNA is filed under the name Bifidobacterium sp. 84. Its description in RNAcentral is "partial 16S ribosomal RNA". It matches the Rfam family "Bacterial small subunit ribosomal RNA", at positions 206 to 407 of the family's 1533-position model. Lineage: Bacteria; Bacillati; Actinomycetota; Actinomycetes; Bifidobacteriales; Bifidobacteriaceae. The record is from RNAcentral.
GAUUCUAUCGGUAUGGGAUGGGGUCGCGUCCUAUCAGGUAGUCGGCGGGGUAACGGCCCACCGAGCCUACGACGGGUAGCCGGCCUGAGAGGGCGACCGGCCACAUUGGGACUGAGAUACGGCCCAGACUCCUACGGGAGGCAGCAGUGGGGAAUAUUGCACAAUGGGCGCAAGCCUGAUGCAGCGACGCCGCGUGCGGG